CUCUCCUCCUACUCAGGGUGUGAUUGACAGGUGCUUCUGCGCAGCUGUUGCUCAUCUGUGAGCAAUCAACCUGGGCUUUAAGAGGAGUGGAGAACCAGAGGGAGGCGUUGGCUCGUUGUCUCACAUAGCGUGGUAAACAGCUAGACCUCUGCUACUCUGCAGUAAUUUUCACUGUUCUCCUGACCUUUUGUGUUUUCUCCUCUGCCUCUUAGGAAGACGUGUUUACCGAAGAUUCUAUGGAUUUUUUUGUGCCUCCGGUUAAUUUUUGCCAUGUCCUGAGGAUCAAGGAAAUUCAAGCCUCGACGUCUCGGCUGUUAGCCUCCAAUCUGCCUCCUUCCCGGAUCCAGGUUUCUAGAGUUUUGGUUCACCUGCAUCUGACAACCUUCCACCUGCCUGUCCACCCUCCCACGGUGAAUACCCCCUUUUAUAGAAAGGAUAGAAAAAAGAGAAACACUGAAUCUGAAGAAUCUGGAAACAUUUUCCCUUCAGCUGCACCCACCUGCCAACCUCAACCAUUGUGGAACAGAAUUAUUCCUCCCAGGCUUAGUGAGAUCCCAAUCCUGUUGCUGAUCCAGUCCUGGUUCCAGAUCACAUUUACUCCUGUAAAACCUAACAAAUUGUUAAAACACUGCCUUGGUUCACUCGUGGUUGUUAUUCAGUCUGGUGAAAACCCAUUAUGACAGAUGGAAACAACUUCAGCUGGAUAUGAACUGUAAAACUGUAAAUGUACUUUCAUUCUCACUGUGUUGGAUCAGCAGAUUAAUUCCAAACAAGUCAGGGUUUGAUGAUUCCUAAGAUGGACAAGAUUCACACAAUCACACAUGUCCAUAAAUAGGUGCGUAUGGUUGAGCAUAAUUCUGAAACGACGGCAACUUUGGCACAGAUGAAGGACCUCGCAAAUGGAAGAAGUCGGAGGGAGCGCGUUGUUUUCAAAGAUCGUACUAAUCCGCUGGCACUUGAUGAUGCAUGGCUUAUCAGCCGGUUAGAGCUUUUCAGAGGGAACUGACUGACAGGUCGGGUAUUUAACAAUGAUCCCUGAGCCGUGCCAUGCCACCCAUAUGGGACUGCCUUAUCCGUAUGUUGCUUAGAUAGAAAGUUCCGCAUACUAUUUGCAGCGAGUGGCCGAUUUCUGUCUGUAAUCAGAGCCAUGGACUGCACUCUUACUGCUAUAAGGGCCCCAUCUGUACGUGAAUGAGCUUUUGUGAAUAGAAAUUUAAUUCAAGAUAUGUGCAAUCUUUUUGUGCUACACACAUGUCUCACAAAUGCAAUGGCACGUUGGCCUCAACUCAUGAUUCAUUUAUACUAUAAUUAUAAUUAUUCUAAUUAUAUUAGUUGUGUUGGAAACAAACCUCAAUUUUCUAUUUUUUAAGUGACGUCCUGAAUGGUUGUAAAGAUUUAAAGUACUUCUGUAGUGUGUGUGGUGACAGUCUUCCUAAUAGAAAAGUGGGAGGCAUAUUCACCACAUUAUUGUGAUCAACACUGAGCUAGGAUUGAGCUCCAUGCAGCAGCUAAACAGCGCUGUUUGGGUUUGAUGCACACGUUGUAGAACUAAACAAGUUCGAGCCGACAAACGUUUUAUUUUCAGUCAGGCUUGAUACGCUAAUGUCAUUCAAAACAUUGUUGGUUUACUGAAAUUCACCACAAAACUCUCUCAUCAUGUGUAGACACAGUCUGUCUUGGUGUUUUUCCACCGAAAGGAACCAGUUCGGUUCUUUGAGCAUCACAGCACCGUUUCCAUGGUUAUUUGGACAUGUGCUGGGUGACUUCCUGCUAUUUAU
Long non-coding RNA from Girardinichthys multiradiatus, 1778 nucleotides. RefSeq lists it as uncharacterized. Lineage: Eukaryota; Metazoa; Chordata; Actinopteri; Cyprinodontiformes; Goodeidae. The transcript has 2 exons. The record is from RefSeq and is a predicted model, not a curated record.